AUUGAACGCUGGCGGCAGGCCUAACACAUGCAAGUCGAGCGGAUGAAGGGAGCUUGCUCCUGGAUUCAGCGGCGGACGGGUGAGUAAUGCCUAGGAAUCUGCCUGGUAGUGGGGGAUAACGUCCGGAAACGGGCGCUAAUACCGCAUACGUCCUGAGGGAGAAAGUGGGGGAUCUUCGGACCUCACGCUAUCAGAUGAGCCUAGGUCGGAUUAGCUAGUUGGUGGGGUAAGGCCUACCAAGGCGACGAUCCGUAACUGGUCUGAGAGGAUGAUCAGUCGCACUGGAACUGAGACACGGUCCAGACUCCUACGGGAGGCAGCAGUGGGGAAUAUUGGACAAUGGGCGAAAGCCUGAUCCAGCCAUGCCGCGUGUGUGAAGAAGGUCUUCGGAUUGUAAAGCACUUUAAGUUGGGAGGAAGGGCAGUAAGUUAAUACCUUGCUGUUUUGACGUUACCAACAGAAUAAGCACCGGCUAACUUCGUG
RNAcentral lists this ribosomal RNA (483 nucleotides) under uncultured bacterium. RNAcentral describes it as "partial 16S ribosomal RNA". It matches the Rfam family "Bacterial small subunit ribosomal RNA", at positions 30 to 507 of the family's 1533-position model. The record is from RNAcentral.